AGGGCACGAGGGGACUCUACGGGAGGCAGCAGUGGGGAAUAUUGCACAAUGGGCGCAAGCCUGAUGCAGCCAUGCCGCGUGUAUGAAAAGGCUUCGGGUUGUAAAGUACUUUCAGCAGGGAGGAAGGUGUUGUGGUUAAAUACCAAAAGAUUGACGUUCUCGGAGGAGAAGAGCCG
Molecule: ribosomal RNA, 176 nt
Filed under: uncultured bacterium
Lineage: Bacteria
Description: partial 16S ribosomal RNA
Rfam family: Bacterial small subunit ribosomal RNA
Source: RNAcentral